UACGUAGGGGGCAAGCGUUGUCCGGAAUUAUUGGGCGUAAAGCGCGCGCAGGCGGUCCUUUAAGUCUUGUGUUUAAGCCCGAGGCUCAACCUCGGUACGCAUGGGAAACUGGGGGACUGGAGUGCAGGAGAGGAAAGUGGAAUUCCACGUGUAGCGGUGAUAUGCGUAGAGAUGUGGAGGAACACCAGUGGCGAAGGCGACUUUCUGGCCUGUAACUGACGCUGAGGCGCGAAAGCGUGGGGAGC
RNAcentral lists this ribosomal RNA (245 nucleotides) under uncultured Paenibacillus sp. Its description in RNAcentral is "partial 16S ribosomal RNA". It matches the Rfam family "Bacterial small subunit ribosomal RNA", at positions 524 to 769 of the family's 1533-position model. The record is from RNAcentral. Lineage: Bacteria; Bacillati; Bacillota; Bacilli; Caryophanales; Paenibacillaceae.